ACACAGUUUUUGCCUUUUUGUCUCUCUGGGGAUUCUUAACAAAGAAGGAAAACUGUGAUGUUACUGCUGGGAGGAUUUUUCCUGAUCCUGGAAGCUUGAUCCAAAUGAUAACUGCCUCCAAUUACCACUCUACACAUUGCCCACAUACAGUGGGUAUUUGGUUACAAUCAAGACUGGAGGUUUGAUGACAGCCAAAAGUACCAGCAAGGAAAUCUCAGAUGGUUCAGGCUACAGCAACACGGGUGCAGGAUAACCUGGAUUCAUGUUCAUGUUCGCGGAGAAGAUGUGCCCUGAAUGCCUUGCACCACCGCUCUUUUCAGCCACGCGAUGUGAAGCGGCCUUUUGAGCAUCAAUUCUCUACAUGAAGAAUAACCUCAAUUCUCAGCAUGAAGAAUAAUCUCAAUUUCUGCCUAAUGAGACCUUGCCAUGAAAUGCGCGUUUAGAAUUUCAUUAGCAUGCCCUGCUCUGAAAGUUUCAUUCUGGACUAGAGGAACAGGAUACUUUGGGCUAUUAGUGUCAGGCUCUGAGUAAAACAAAGCAACUUCAAAGGACAGCAAGAGAGAACAGAGUGUAAAGCCCUACCGAUGUCUGUGAUCAGUUCAUGGCAGCUAAGUUGUGUCAUUCUGGUUUGCUGCAUUGGAGCGACUGCAAGCUCUCUGGAGGCCAGAAUGUCUCCUCGUGCUCCCUCACUGAAAGUCAGAGCCUCUGUCACAGGGAGCCAUGAGCACAGAGCGUGAGCCAUGCAUACUUGCUUCGCCCACAGUAAAGCAACGUCUGCAGCAAGCCAGCAGAGAAACAACCCAAGAUACAGAUUUCAUUACACAGCGGCUGAAUUUCAGAAUCACCUGAGCACCCAGCAUCUUUCUUCUCCUCUGCACCUGCUGUCAGUAAGGCCACUCUUUAUUAAGGUUUCAAGAUAUAUGGUCUAAAUAUUCGUACAAUUGUGUCCGUUAAGAAAUGAAAAAGUGACUUAAAUGUAAAUGAAUUAUUAACAGAGAUGUCAAUAUUGCACUGUCUUGGUGUUGGGCUUUUUGGCUGUGUGAGUGCUUCUGGAGGAACAAAAAACUGUAUACGAAGAGGUAAAGACUUCAAAAGAAAAAGUUACAGGAUGUACAUCUAUCUCUAUUAGAGAAACUAAAGCCUCUCUGGGAAUGGUGGCAUCUGAGGGGGGUUGAAGGGAUGGAAGGAAGGAUGGUGAUUCCCCAUGAGGUAACUUGAUGUCUGCCGUGCCAUGAAGGGACACGGCACUUAGCUAUUCCUGAGUUGGACUACCAACUCUUUAAAGUAUGCCUGUGAUCCUCCUGCUUUCAUGCCUCUUGUGCUUGGUAAACUUAACGCACGGGAAAGGCUGAUGUGAUGAAGUAUGAGGUGAGAACCAAAUGGACAAAUUUUGUAGCUGGAGCAGGAGCCAUGCUGACUUUUUUAUAUACCAUAAUGUAAUC
Molecule: long non-coding RNA, 1442 nt
Filed under: Phasianus colchicus (ring-necked pheasant)
Lineage: Eukaryota; Metazoa; Chordata; Aves; Galliformes; Phasianidae
Description: lncRNA (ENSPCLG00000011578.1)
Source: RNAcentral